UUGCCCUACAACCACCAGUGAAGCGGCAACAGCUCAAAUUUGAAAUCUGGCCCUCGGGUCCGAGUUGUAAUUUGUAGAGGAUGCUUUUGGCGCGGUGCCUUCCGAGUUCCCUGGAACGGGACGCCUUANAGGGUGAGAGCCCCGUACGGUUGGACACCAAGCCUCUGUAAAGCUCCUUCGACGAGUCGAGUAGCUUGGGAAUGCUGCUCUAAAUGGGAGGUAAAUUUCUUCUAAAGCUAAAUAUUGGCCAGAGACCGAUAGCGCACAAGUAGAGUGAUCGAAAGAUGAAAAGCACUUUGAAAAGAGGGUUAAACAGCACGUGAAAUUGUUGAAAGGGAAGCGUUUGCGACCAGACCUUUUCCUAGCGGAUCAUCCGGUGUUCUCACCGGUGCACUUCGCUAGGUUUAGGCCAGCAUCGGUUUCUGUAGGGGGAUAAAAGCUCUGGGAACGUAGCUCCUCCGGGAGUGUUAUAGCCCUCUGCAUAAUACCCUUACGGGGACCGAGGACCGCGCUUCNGCAAGGAUGCUGGCGUAAUGGUCGUCAACGACCCGU
RNAcentral lists this ribosomal RNA (552 nucleotides) under Xylaria sp. 5AM-B2-1. RNAcentral describes it as "eukaryotic LSU rRNA". It matches the Rfam family "Eukaryotic large subunit ribosomal RNA", at positions 75 to 652 of the family's 3401-position model. The record is from RNAcentral. Lineage: Eukaryota; Fungi; Ascomycota; Sordariomycetes; Xylariales; Xylariaceae.